UGGGGAAUAUUGCACAAUGGGCGCAAGCCUGAUGCAGCCAUGCCGCGUGUGUGAAGAAGGCCUUCGGGUGGUAAAGCACUUUCAGCGGGGAGGAAGGCGUUAAGGUUAAUAACCUUGGCGAUUGACGUUACCCGCAGAAGAAGCACCGGCUAACUCCGUGCCAGCAGCCGCGGUAAUACGGAGGGUGCAAGCGUUAAUCGGAAUUACUGGGGGUAAAGCGCACGCAGGCGGUUUGUCAAGUCGAAUGUGAAAUCCCCGGGCUCAACCUUGGAACUGCAUUCGAUACUGGCAGGUUAGAGGUUUGUAGGGGGGGGUAGAAUUCCCGGUUUAGCGAUGAAAUGCGUAGAGAUCUGGAGGAAUACCGGUGGCGAAGGCGGCCCCCUGGACAAAGACUGACGCUCAGGUGCGAAAGCGUGGGGAGCAAACCAG
Molecule: ribosomal RNA, 429 nt
Filed under: Chloroflexota bacterium
Lineage: Bacteria; Bacillati; Chloroflexota
Description: Chloroflexi bacterium partial 16S ribosomal RNA
Rfam family: Bacterial small subunit ribosomal RNA
Source: RNAcentral